GACGAACGCUGGCGGCGUGCCUAAUACAUGCAAGUCGAGCGAAGUUUUUCUGGUGCUUGCACUAGAAAAACUUAGCGGCGAACGGGUAAGUAACACGUAAAGAACCUGCCUCAUAGACUGGGACAACUAUUGGAAACGAUAGCUAAUACCGGAUAACAGCAUUAACUGCAUGGUUGAUGUUUAAAAGUUGGUUUUGCUAACACUAUGAGAUGGCUUUGCGGUGCAUUAGCUAGUUGGUGGGGUAAAGGCCUACCAAGGCGACGAUGCAUAGCCGACCUGAGAGGGUGAUCGGCCACACUGGGACUGAGACACGGCCCAGACUCCUACGGGAGGCAGCAGUAGGGAAUCUUCCGCAAUGGGCGAAAGCCUGACGGAGCAACGCCGCGUGAGUGAAGAAGGAUUUCGGUUCGUAAAGCUCUGUUGUUAGGGAAGAAUGAUUGUGUAGUAACUAUACACAGUAGAGACGGUACCUAACCAGAAAGCCACGGCUAACUACGUGCCAGCAGCCGCGGUAAUACGUAGGUGGCAAGCGUUGUCCGGAAUUAUUGGGCGUAAAGCGCGCGCAGGUGGUUUAAUAAGUCUGAUGUGAAAGCCCACGGCUCAACCGUGGAGGGUCAUUGGAAACUGUUAAACUUGAGUGCAGGAGAGAAAAGUGGAAUUCCUAGUGUAGCGGUGAAAUGCGUAGAGAUUAGGAGGAACACCAGUGGCGAAGGCGGCUUUUUGGCCUGUAACUGACACUGAGGCGCGAAAGCGUGGGGAGCAAACAGG
Molecule: ribosomal RNA, 768 nt
Filed under: uncultured bacterium
Lineage: Bacteria
Description: bacterial SSU rRNA
Rfam family: Bacterial small subunit ribosomal RNA
Source: RNAcentral